UUGCUCGGUAAAACUCAGCUGGUAAUUC
This 28-nucleotide small RNA is filed under the name Bombyx mori (domestic silkworm). RNAcentral describes it as "ovarian small RNA-37915". The record is from RNAcentral. Lineage: Eukaryota; Metazoa; Arthropoda; Insecta; Lepidoptera; Bombycidae.